GUAGCAUUAUCCCAGUGAGCUUCUUCCAAACCUAUUAUCCCUCCCUGUUAAUGUUUGACAUGUUCUCUGGUUCGAAUUCGAUUUAUUUAUAGACUCCAUGCAAGUUGAUGGAUCUCUACAAACUCAUUUUUCUCUUUGCCAAUCAGGCAUGUAUUGUUUUGUUUUCGUCCAUUUCAUAACGUGAUGUUUGCUUUGUCUUUAAGGUGGCUUUGCCUUGGCGCUACCAGUGUCGUUGAGGAUGCAGGACAUGGUGGUGGUUCCACUGGAUCCAGCACGGUUGCAGGGGAUUGAGCGGCAGUGGCUCUGUGUCGUUGGUACAUCAAUAAAGAUCUACCAGAAAUAACUGAGAUACUUACACAGAAGUACUCCUGGUGCAGUUAGGGAUUUUUUUAUACCAUGGUGCAUCUUUCUGAUGUGCGUGUUGCUUCAGAUGGUCACUUGUCUUACUAUCUACUCUGCUAUUUUGUGUGGGAAUUCCCUGACUUUUUACAGUAGAAAGGAAAGCAUUGCCCCCCCUUUUAUUUUUAGCACGAUAUUCAGUGCUAAUUUUGAGUGGAAGAAGUGGAAAAAUUUCAGGUGAUUACUGUCAAGGAUUGUAACUAUAUAUUUAUCUUAGAAAGUAUGGUUUCACGU
This is a long non-coding RNA of Lolium rigidum, 633 nucleotides long. RefSeq lists it as uncharacterized. The transcript is spliced from 3 exons. The record is from RefSeq and is a predicted model, not a curated record. Lineage: Eukaryota; Viridiplantae; Streptophyta; Magnoliopsida; Poales; Poaceae.